Molecule: ribosomal RNA, 466 nt
Filed under: uncultured ciliate
Lineage: Eukaryota; Ciliophora
Description: SSU rRNA
Rfam family: Eukaryotic small subunit ribosomal RNA
Source: RNAcentral
AUUUGUCUGGUUAAUUCCGAUAACGAACGAGACCUUAACCUGCUAACUAGAUCCAAUUAUCCGAUUUUUGCGAUCUUCUUAGAGGGACUAUGUAAUAAAAAUACAUGGAAGUUUGAGGCAAUAACAGGUCAGUGAUGCCCUUAUAUGUCCUGGGCUGCACGCUGUGCUACACUGAUGCAUACAACAAGUGCCUAACCAGACAUGGUAUGGUAAUCUCUAAUAUGCAUCGUGAUGGGGAUAGAUCUUUGCAAUUAUAGAUCUUGAACGAGGAAUUCCUAGUAAGUGCAAGUCAUCAUCUUGCAUUGAUUAUGUCCCUGCCCUUUGUACACACCGCCCGUCGCUCCUACCGAUACCGGGUGAUCCGGUGAACCUUUUGGACUCAUUUGGGAAAGAUAAGUAAACCAUAUCACCUAGAGGAAGGAGAAGUCGUAACAAGGUUUCCGUAGGUGAACCUGCRGAAGGAUCA